CAAUCCGGCCCGACGCGUGAUCAAAGCUCUUCCAUGACCGGGGACAAAUACCGAACCGACCAACCCCAGCCACCUCCCCACCGCGUCCAUCGCCCGGAAGAGUGACAUUGCCCAACUCAGUUGGAUUUCCGCCCAGUUCGCUGGCAUAUGCUCGCUGCGAUCACACCGCAGACAUGCGACGGCCCCCGGCCGGGACUGGCAUCCCGAUCGAGGGCCUGACCACCGAGGAAGGUCACAACUUCCCG
RNAcentral lists this non-coding RNA (245 nucleotides) under Streptomyces monashensis. Its description in RNAcentral is "Streptomyces sp. MUSC 1 Streptomyces sRNA 4677". It matches the Rfam family "Streptomyces sRNA 4677". Rfam says of the family: Located in the intergenic region between anti-sigma factor SCO4677 gene and a putative regulatory protein gene SCO4676. scr4677 expression requires the SCO4677 activity and scr4677 sRNA itself seem to affect the levels of the SCO4676-associated transcripts. Lineage: Bacteria; Bacillati; Actinomycetota; Actinomycetes; Kitasatosporales; Streptomycetaceae. The record is from Rfam by way of RNAcentral.